This 201-nucleotide long non-coding RNA is filed under the name Elaeis guineensis (African oil palm). Its description in RNAcentral is "long non-coding RNA (EGUI_LNC008502)". Lineage: Eukaryota; Viridiplantae; Streptophyta; Magnoliopsida; Arecales; Arecaceae. The record is from RNAcentral.
CCUCCAUAUUUUUAUUCUUCUGACUAUUCUUUUCUGUCCUAUCUUUUUCUAGAAGAUUUGAAACUUUUUAAAAAGAAAAAAGUUAUGUAGAUCACCGAUGGUUUUCCAUCCCCCAAAAAUUCAAAAAAAAAAACAAUGAUGCGGCAUUUUUUUUUUCAUGUUAUUUGUAGAAAAAAAUGCAUCUUUUUAGUUUCAUUUCUU